RNAcentral lists this ribosomal RNA (468 nucleotides) under uncultured bacterium. Its description in RNAcentral is "partial 16S ribosomal RNA". It matches the Rfam family "Bacterial small subunit ribosomal RNA", at positions 28 to 507 of the family's 1533-position model. The record is from RNAcentral.
GACGAACGCUGGCGGCGUGCUUAACACAUGCAAGUCGAACGGAAAGGCCCUGCUUUUGUGGGGUGCACGAGUGGCGAACGGGUGAGUAACACGUGAGUAACCUGCCCUUGACUUUGGGAUAACUUCAGGAAACUGGGGCUAAUACCGGAUAGGAGCUCCUGCUGCAUGGUGGGGGUUGGAAAGUUUCGGCGGUUGGGGAUGGACUCGCGGCUUAUCAGCUUGUUGGUGGGGUAGUGGCUUACCAAGGCUUUGACGGGUAGCCGGCCUGAGAGGGUGACCGGCCACAUUGGGACUGAGAUACGGCCCAGACUCCUACGGGAGGCAGCGGUGGGGAAUAGUGCACAAUGGGCGGAAGCCUGAUGCAGCAACGCCGCGUGCGGGAUGACGGCCUUCGGGUUGUAAACCGCUUUCGCCUGUGACGAAGCGUGAGUGACGGUAAUGGGUAAAGAAGCACCGGCUAACCACGUG